AUUUUAAUAUAAUUAAAAGAAUGGAACUUAGGUAGGAAAUUGUUUUAUCCAUUGAAUAUCGUAACUCUAUACUUUGUACGUUCUAUACAUUUUUUCAUAUUACGUGGAUUCCGUGAAUUUUUGCACUUUCAGACUUCCUGCGGAUACGUGAAAAUUUGCAGUCCCAUGAUAAUAAGAAAAGAAAGUGAAAAAUAGAAGGAUGAGAAAGUAAAGAAAAUAGAAAAUGGAAAAUGGAAAAAGGAAUAGAGAAGCAAGUGAAAGGAUUACAGUUACUUAUUAGAUCACAUAUUAGAAAGGGGAAAAGCGUAAAAAAUAAGGAAAAGAACUAAAAAAAAAAGGUAAAGA
Bombus pascuorum is the source of this 345-nucleotide long non-coding RNA. RefSeq lists it as uncharacterized. NCBI's taxonomy places the organism in Eukaryota, Metazoa, Arthropoda, Insecta, Hymenoptera, Apidae. The record is from RefSeq and is a predicted model, not a curated record. The transcript is spliced from 2 exons.